GCCAGUGUGGUAUAGUGGUUUGAGUGUUGGACUAGGACUCUGGGAGACCAGGUUUCAAAUCCCCGCUUUGUCG
Phrynosoma platyrhinos (Desert horned lizard) is the source of this 73-nucleotide non-coding RNA. Lineage: Eukaryota; Metazoa; Chordata; Lepidosauria; Squamata; Phrynosomatidae. The record is from the annotation of a GenBank genome assembly.